CUUGCUGGGGGAUUAGUGGCGAACGGGUGAGUAACACGUGAGUAACCUGCCCUUGACUCUGGGAUAAGCCUGGGAAACUGGGUCUAAUACCGGAUACGACCAUCUGGCGCAUGUCAUGGUGGUGGAAAGCUUUUGUGGUUUUGGAUGGACUCGCGGCCUAUCAGCUUGUUGGUGGGGUAAUGGCCUACCAAGGCGACGACGGGUAGCCGGCCUGAGAGGGUGACCGGCCACACUGGGACUGAGACACGGCCCAGACUCCUACGGGAGGCAGCAGUGGGGAAUAUUGCACAAUGGGCGCAAGCCUGAUGCAGCGACGCCGCGUGAGGGAUGACGGCCUUCGGGUUGUAAACCUCUUUCAGUAGGGAAGAAGCGAAAGUGACGGUACCUGCAGAAGAAGCGCCGGCUAACUACGUGCCAGCAGCCGCGGUAAUACGUAGGGCGCAAGCGUUAUCCGGAAUUAUUGGGCGUAAAGAGCUCGUAGGCGGUUUGUCGCGUCUGCUGUGAAAGACCGGGGCUCAACUCCGGUUCUGCAGUGGGUACGGGCAGACUAGAGUGCAGUAGGGGAGACUGGAAUUCCUGGUGUAGCGGUGAAAUGCGCAGAUAUCAGGAGGAACACCGAUGGCGAAGGCAGGUCUCUGGGCUGUAACUGACGCUGAGGAGCGAAAGCAUGGGGAGCGAACAGGAUUAGAUACCCUGGUAGUCCAUGCCGUAAACGUUGGGCACUAGGUGUGGGGGACAUUCCACGUUUUCCGCGCCGUAGCUAACGCAUUAAGUGCCCCGCCUGGGGAGUACGGCCGCAAGGCUAAAACUCAAAGGAAUUGACGGGGGCCCGCACAAGCGGCGGAGCAUGCGGAUUAAUUCGAUGCAACGCGAAGAACCUUACCAAGGCUUGACAUGAACCGGUAAUACCUGGAAACAGGUGCCCCGCUUGCGGUCGGUUUACAGGUGGUGCAUGGUUGUCGUCAGCUCGUGUCGUGAGAUGUUGGGUUAAGUCCCGCAACGAGCGCAACCCUCGUUCUAUGUUGCCAGCGGUUCGGCCGGGGACUCAUAGGAGACUGCCGGGGUCAACUCGGAGGAAGGUGGGGACGACGUCAAAUCAUCAUGCCCCUUAUGUCUUGGGCUUCACGCAUGCUACAAUGGCCGGUACAAAGGGUUGCGAUACUGUGAGGUGGAGCUAAUCCCAAAAAGCCGGUCUCAGUUCGGAUUGGGGUCUGCAACUCGACCCCAUGAAGUCGGAGUCGCUAGUAAUCGCAGAUCAGCAACGCUGCGGUGAAUACGUUCCCGGGCCUUGUACACACCGCCCGUCAAGUCACGAAAGUUGGUAACACCCGAAGCC
This 1336-nucleotide ribosomal RNA is filed under the name Paenarthrobacter nitroguajacolicus. RNAcentral describes it as "bacterial SSU rRNA". It matches the Rfam family "Bacterial small subunit ribosomal RNA", at positions 80 to 1428 of the family's 1533-position model. The record is from RNAcentral. Lineage: Bacteria; Bacillati; Actinomycetota; Actinomycetes; Micrococcales; Micrococcaceae.